RNAcentral lists this ribosomal RNA (433 nucleotides) under uncultured bacterium. RNAcentral describes it as "bacterial SSU rRNA". It matches the Rfam family "Bacterial small subunit ribosomal RNA", at positions 29 to 453 of the family's 1533-position model. The record is from RNAcentral.
AACGAACGCUGGCGGCGCGCCUAAUACAUGCAAGUCGAGCGAGAAGACGUAGCAAUACGUUUGUAAAGCGGCGAACGGGUGAGGAAUACAUGGGUAACCUACCCUCGAGUGGGGAAUAACUAGCCGAAAGGUUAGCUAAUACCGCGUACGCUCCUUGGACUUCGGUUCAGGGAGGAAAGCGAUACCGUGGGUAUCGCGCUCUUGGAUGGGCUCAUGUCCUAUCAGCUUGUUGGGAGGUAACGGCUCACCAAGGCUUCGACGGGUAGCUGGUCUGAGAGGACGAUCAGCCACACUGGCACUGCGACACGGGCCAGACUCCUACGGGAGGCAGCAGUAAGGAAUAUUGCGCAAUGGGCGAAAGCCUGACGCAGCGACGCCGCGUGGGGGAUGAAGGUCUUCGGAUUGUAAACCCCUUUCGGGAGGGAAGAUGGAA